UUAAAGUUGGAACCAGGUUUCCGUAGGUGAACCUGCGGAAAGAUCAUUAUUGGAAUUACCGGUGAGGGUUGUAGCUGGCCCUUNGGGGCAAGNUCACGCUCGAGCCUUUAAUCCAACACACACCUGUGAACCCAAUGUAAGGGCCCGUAAAAAAGGCCCCUACGUCUUUAUCACCAACUCUGUAUUCAUAGAAUGUAAUCCAUAUCUUCGCCUUAAACAAGCGUUGGUAAACUUUAUACAACUUUCAACAACGGAUCUCUUGGCUCUCGCAUCGAUGAAGAACGCAGCGAAAUGCGAUAAGUAAUGUGAAUUGCAGAUUUUCAGUGAAUCAUCGAAUCUUUGAACGCACCUUGCGCCCCUUGGUAUUCCGAGGGGCAUGCCUGUUUGAGUGUCAUUAAAUUCUCAACUCUGAUUUGAUUUGUUUCUAAUCAGAGCUUGGACUUGGAGUGUGCUGGCGUCUAGUCGGCUCCUCUCAAAUGCAUCAGCGGAAUUUAAAACCUUUGGUUUCCGGACGUCGGUGUAAUAAUAAAGUUGCGCCGUCUUUCAACUUCAAAGUCCGCUUAUAAUGGUCUUCGAACGAACUCUUAUAUCAAAUUUGACCUCAAAUCAGGUAGGACUACCCGCUGAACUUAAGCUUAUCAAUAAGCGAAGAAAAAAAAACUAAC
This 665-nucleotide ribosomal RNA is filed under the name Piloderma cf. lanatum 355 VM-2015. Its description in RNAcentral is "eukaryotic LSU rRNA". The stretch from base 240 to 394 matches the Rfam family "5.8S ribosomal RNA". Lineage: Eukaryota; Fungi; Basidiomycota; Agaricomycetes; Atheliales; Atheliaceae. The record is from RNAcentral.